UACGAGGGGGGCGAGCGUUGUUCGGAAUUAUUGGGCGUAAAGGGUGCGUAGGCGGUUCCGCAAGUCCUGUGUGAAAUCUUCGGGCUCAACUCGAAGUCUGCACGGGAAACUGCGGGGCUUGAGUGUGGGAGAGGUGAGUGGAAUUUCCGGUGUAGCGGUGAAAUGCGUAGAUAUCGGGAGGAACACCUGUGGCGAAAGCGGCUCACUGGACCAUAACUGACGCUGAUGCACGAAAGCUGGGGGAGCAAACAGG
RNAcentral lists this ribosomal RNA (253 nucleotides) under uncultured bacterium. RNAcentral describes it as "partial 16S ribosomal RNA". It matches the Rfam family "Bacterial small subunit ribosomal RNA", at positions 524 to 776 of the family's 1533-position model. The record is from RNAcentral.